GCGUAAGCGCACGCAGGCGGUCUGUCAAGUCGGAUGUGAAAUCCCCGGGCUCAACCUGGGAACUGCAUUCGAAACUGGCAGGCUAGAGUCUUGUAGAGGGGGGUAGAAUUCCAGGUGUAGCGGUGAAAUGCGUAGAGAUCUGGAGGAAUACCGGUGGCGAAGGCGGCCCCCUGGACAAAGACUGACGCUCAGGUGCGAAAGCGUGGGGAGCAAACAGGAUUAGAUACCCUGGUAGUCCACGCCGUAAACGAUGUCGACUUGGAGGUUGUGCCCUUGAGGCGUGGCUUCCGGAGCUAACGCGUUAAGUCGACCGCCUGGGGAGUACGGCCGCAAGGUUAAAACUCAAAUGAAUUGACGGGGGCCCGCACAAGCGGUGGAGCAUGUGGUUUAAUUCGAUGCAACGCGAAGAACCUUACCUACUCUUGACAUCCAGAGAACUUUCCAGAGAUGGAUUGGUGCCUUCGGGAACUCUGAGACAGGUGCUGCAUGGCUGUCGUCAGCUCGUGUUGUGAAAUGUUGGGUUAAGUCCCGCAACGAGCGCAACCCUUAUCCUUUGUUGCCAGCGGUCAGGCCGGGAACUCAAAGGAGACUGCCAGUGAUAAACUGGAGGAAGGUGGGGAUGACGUC
This 627-nucleotide ribosomal RNA is filed under the name Enterobacter hormaechei. RNAcentral's name for it is "bacterial SSU rRNA". It matches the Rfam family "Bacterial small subunit ribosomal RNA", at positions 558 to 1186 of the family's 1533-position model. Lineage: Bacteria; Pseudomonadati; Pseudomonadota; Gammaproteobacteria; Enterobacterales; Enterobacteriaceae. The record is from RNAcentral.